Molecule: ribosomal RNA, 388 nt
Filed under: uncultured bacterium
Lineage: Bacteria
Description: bacterial SSU rRNA
Rfam family: Bacterial small subunit ribosomal RNA
Source: RNAcentral
GACGAACGCUGGCGGCGUGCUUAACACAUGCAAGUCGAGCGGUAAGGCCCUUUCGGGGGUACGACGAGCGGCGAACGGGUGAGUAACACGUGGGUGACCUGCCCUUAGCUCUGGGAUAAGCCUGGGAAACUGGGUCUAAUACCGGAUAUGACCUCAUGACUCAUGUUGUGGGGUGGAAAGCCUUGUGCGGCUAGGGAUGGGCCCGCGGCCUAUCAGCUUGUUGGUGGGGUAAUUGCCACCAAGGCGACGACGGGUAGCCGGCCUGAGAGGGCGACCGGCCACACUGGGACUGAGACACGGCCCAGACUCCUACGGGAGGCAGCAGUGGGGAAUCUUGCGCAAUGGGCGAAAGCCUGACGCAGCGACGCCGCGUGAGGGAUGACGGCCU